CCUACGGGAGACAGCAGUGCGGAAUAUUGGUCAAUGGGCUUAAGCCUGCACCAGCCAAGUCGCGUGAGUGAUGACGGUUCUAUGGAUCGUACACCUCUUUUAUCCGGGCAUAAACUGCGAUCCGUGUCCCGUUUUGUAUGUACCUUUUGCAUCAGGAUCGGCUACCUCCGUGCCAGCCGCCUCGGUAAUACGGCGGUUCCGAGCGUUAUCCGGAUUUAUUUGGUUUAAAGGUUGCGUAGGCGGCCUUUUAAGUCAGCGGUGAAAGUCUGUGGCUCAACAGUAGAAUUGACGGUGAAACUGGGAGGCGGGAGUGUAUUUGAGGCAGGGGGAAUGUGUGGUGUAGCGGUGAAAUGCUUAGAUAUCACGCAGAACACCGAUUGCGAAGGCAGCCGGCCAAGCCAUGACUGACGCUGAUGCACGAAAGCGUGGGGAUCAAACAGGAUUAGAUACCCCAGUAGUC
Molecule: ribosomal RNA, 460 nt
Filed under: uncultured bacterium
Lineage: Bacteria
Description: partial 16S ribosomal RNA
Rfam family: Bacterial small subunit ribosomal RNA
Source: RNAcentral